This is a long non-coding RNA of Lolium rigidum, 170 nucleotides long. RefSeq lists it as uncharacterized. Lineage: Eukaryota; Viridiplantae; Streptophyta; Magnoliopsida; Poales; Poaceae. The transcript has 3 exons. The record is from RefSeq and is a predicted model, not a curated record.
UGGCGGCGACUCCUCCUGUAUACCAUGUGUUCUUCCACCGUGGCUUGGACAGAGCCGGAUUCCUUCUGCAGGCAAGAAGGACGUUGAGAAAAACAAGACUUUGGCAGACGUUCUGGUUCGUUCAGACGGUCACUACAAGAGAUGAAGGUUUUCUUAAAACUAACAGAUGC